RNAcentral lists this ribosomal RNA (301 nucleotides) under uncultured bacterium. Its description in RNAcentral is "partial 16S ribosomal RNA". It matches the Rfam family "Bacterial small subunit ribosomal RNA", at positions 509 to 807 of the family's 1533-position model. The record is from RNAcentral.
CAGCAGCCACGGUAAUACGUAGGGUGCGAGCGUUAAUCGGAAUUACUGGGCGUAAAGCGUGCGCAGGCGGUUCGUUAAGACAGAUAUGAAAUCCCCGGGCUUAACCUGGGAACUGCAUUUGUGACUGGCGAGCUAGAGUAUGGCAGAGGGGGGUAGAAUUCCACGUGUAGCAGUGAAAUGCGUAGAGAUGUGGAGGAAUACCAGUGGCGAAGGCGGCUCACUGGACCGACAUUGACGCUGAGGCGCGAAAGCGUGGGGAGCAAACAGGAUUAGAUACCCCCGUAGUCCCUGUCUCUUAUAC